RNAcentral lists this ribosomal RNA (301 nucleotides) under uncultured bacterium. RNAcentral describes it as "partial 16S ribosomal RNA". It matches the Rfam family "Bacterial small subunit ribosomal RNA", at positions 509 to 807 of the family's 1533-position model. The record is from RNAcentral.
CAGUCGCCGCGGGAAUACGAAGGGGGCUAGCGUUGUUCGGAAUUACUGGGCGUAAAGCGCACGUAGGCGGAUAUUUAAGUCAGGGGUGAAAUCCCAGAGCUCAACUCUGGAACUGCCUUUGAUACUGGGUAUCUUGAGUAUGGAAGAGGUAAGUGGAAUUCCGAGUGUAGAGGUGAAAUUCGUAGAUAUUCGGAGGAACACCAGUGGCGAAGGCGGCUUACUGGUCCAUUACUGACGCUGAGGUGCGAAAGCGUGGGGAGCAAACAGGAUUAGAUACCCCUGUAGUCCCUGUCUCUUAUAC